This 465-nucleotide ribosomal RNA is filed under the name uncultured bacterium. RNAcentral's name for it is "partial 16S ribosomal RNA". It matches the Rfam family "Bacterial small subunit ribosomal RNA", at positions 338 to 795 of the family's 1533-position model. The record is from RNAcentral.
CCUACGGGAGGCAGCAGUAGGGAAUUUUCGUCAAUGGGCGCAAGCCUGAACGAGCAAUGCCGCGUGAGUGAAGAAGGUCUUCGGAUCGUAAAGCUCUGUUGCGGGGGAAAAAAAGCAGCAUCAGGAAAUGAACGCCGACUGAUGGUACCCCGCCAGAAAGUCACGGCUAACUACGUGCCAGCAGCCGCGGUAAUACGUAGGUGGCGAGCGUUAUCCGGAAUGAUUGGGCGUAAAGGGUGCGCUGGCGGUCCUGCAAGUCUGGAGUGAAAGGCACGGGCUCAACCCAGGCAAGGCUUUGGAAACUGGAGGACUUGAGAGCAGGAGAGGGCGGUGGAACUCCAUGUGUAGCGGUAAAAUGCGUAGAUAUAUGGAAGAACACCAGUGGCGAAGGCGGCCGCCUGGCCUGUUGCUGACGCUGAGGCACGAAAGCGUGGGGAGCAAAUAGGAUUAGAUACCCGUGUAGUC